Molecule: transfer RNA, 57 nt
Filed under: Hyemoschus aquaticus (Water chevrotain)
Lineage: Eukaryota; Metazoa; Chordata; Mammalia; Artiodactyla; Tragulidae
Description: partial tRNA-Pro
Source: RNAcentral
GACCUAACGCUCCACCAUCAGCACCCAAAGCUGAAAUUCUACUUAAACUAUCCCCUG